GGGACCCACUGGGUGGCCGCGCGCGCCGCCCGCGCGUUUUUCGCGCGCGUCUGCCCACCAGCGAGGCCGCAACGCGCCCUGACACCCGACCUCAGUGCGGACCCUCACUUGCUGUGGGUGUUGGGGCCUUUCUAGAGCAGGGAGGAAAAGUUAUCCUCACUAUUCUCAGACUCCGGAAUCUCUUAGAAUGUAAAGACACUAAGAAGACAUUCGAUUGAUGAAAUAGAAGAGUUUGCCAACAAGGUAGAAACAUUAAAAGAAAACAGAAUUUUGAAUUCAUGAAUUUUAUCUAAAAUGUUCUUUGCUUUUGUAAACUUCGUAGAGAUCAGUGGAUGUUGUGCUUGAUGUGUUCUGUGUCUGAGUAAUUAUUGUAACUUUACUAUGAUUUAAAAAGAAUGUAAAGUCACUGCUUCCUCCACUUUUACUUUUCUCUUUUCUUCUCCCAAAAUAUUCCUUAUUUAAUGUAUGACACUAGCUAUAUGUUUGUAGACAGUACUAGGAGAUUAAAAAGAAAAGAAAUAACGAAAUGGGG
Molecule: long non-coding RNA, 532 nt
Filed under: Rhinopithecus bieti (black snub-nosed monkey)
Lineage: Eukaryota; Metazoa; Chordata; Mammalia; Primates; Cercopithecidae
Description: lncRNA (ENSRBIG00000045584.1)
Source: RNAcentral